Molecule: long non-coding RNA, 362 nt
Organism: Sapajus apella (tufted capuchin)
Lineage: Eukaryota; Metazoa; Chordata; Mammalia; Primates; Cebidae
Exons: 2
Source: RefSeq, a predicted model, not a curated record
CUCCAUCUCAAAAAAGAAAAAAGAGAAAAAAGAAAUGUAUAGGUAAACAAUAAAGUUAUAUUUUUGUACACUGUAUUUAAAAUAUUAGCAAUGCUGGGAAUUAAAGUGUUUGAUGUCUUCCUAAAAAACGUAUCAACAGGCAUUUGAACAAUGUUUGCCUUCUUCAAAAAUCAUGUACCUUAUGAUAUGAAGCAAGCUCCUUUGCUGUGUUUCAAAAACUUGUUGUGCCCCUUCUAAGUUUGGAUCAGUUUCCAAUAUUUUAUCCUUUCUGUUUUCAAUGUCACGAAAUAUCUCCAAGUCCCUUUAACGUGAAGCUUUUUGCUGACGUUCUUUUCUCUGGGACAUCUUCAUCUUUUUCAUCA